UACGUAGGGUGCAAGCGUUAUCCGGAAUUAUUGGGCGUAAAGAGCUCGUAGGCGGUUUGUCGCGUCUGCUGUGAAAUCCCGAGGCUCAACCUCGGGCCUGCAGUGGGUACGGGCAGACUAGAGUGCGGUAGGGGAGAUUGGAAUUCCUGGUGUAGCGGUGGAAUGCGCAGAUAUCAGGAGGAACACCGGUGGCGAAGGCGGGUCUCUGGGGCCGAUAUUGACGCUGAGGAGCGAAAGCGUGGGGAGCAAACAGG
Molecule: ribosomal RNA, 254 nt
Filed under: uncultured bacterium
Lineage: Bacteria
Description: partial 16S ribosomal RNA
Rfam family: Bacterial small subunit ribosomal RNA
Source: RNAcentral